This 1417-nucleotide ribosomal RNA is filed under the name Dendropsophus sartori (Tayor's yellow treefrog). Its description in RNAcentral is "partial 16S ribosomal RNA". It matches the Rfam family "Bacterial large subunit ribosomal RNA", at positions 130 to 2597 of the family's 2925-position model. Lineage: Eukaryota; Metazoa; Chordata; Amphibia; Anura; Hylidae. The record is from RNAcentral.
GCUAAAAAUCUAGCCCCACUAACCUCUCAUGCCCUAUAACUUAACACCACAAACAAAAACAUUUUAUCCUUUCAGUAAAGGCGAUUGAAAAAAUUAUUGAAGCUACAGCAAUAGUACCGCAAGGAAAAGAUGAAAUAAUAAAUGAAACAAAUUUUAAGCAUAAAAAAGCAGAGCCACACCCUCGUACCUUUUGCAUCAUGAUCUACCUAGUUUAAUCAAGCGAAAAGAACUUCAGUUUGACACCCCGAAACUAGACGAGCUACUUCGAGGCAGCCUAACGAGCCAACCCGUCUCUGUUGCAAAAGAGUGGGAAGACCCCCAAGUAGCGGCGAUAAACCUAACGAGUCUAGUGAUAGCUGGUUACUUAAGAAAAGGAUUUUAGUCCAACCUAAAGCAUAUUAAAUUAAAAUAAAUAACGCCCAUGCUUUAGCGCCAUUCAAACGAGGUACAGCCCGCUUGAAAUAAGGAUACAACCUACACUAAUGGGUAACUCUUAUACUUUUUUAAAUAAGUGGGCCUAAAAGCAGCCACCUUUAAGAUAGCGUCAAAGCUUUACUAUAAAAAACUUUAAUACCAUCAAUCUUCAUGAACCCUUAAGCUACAUUAAGUUGUUCUAUACACUUAUAGAAGCAUUUAUGUUAGAACUAGUAAUAAGAAGAGAGACCUUCUCUUAAAUGUAUGUGUAAAUCAGAAAGGACAAACCACUGAUAAUUAAUCACCAAUGAAAACUAAACAGCAACUUCACUAGAAAACUCUGUUUUCCCUAAUGUUAAUCUUACACUAGCACAUUACAAGAAAGAUUAAAAGAAAAAGAAGGAACUCGGCAAACAUUAACCCCGCCUGUUUACCAAAAACAUCGCCUCUUGUCCCACAUAAGAGGUCCAGCCUGCCCAGUGACUAAAUUCAACGGCCGCGGUAUCCUAACCGUGCGAAGGUAGCGUAAUCACUUGUUCUUUAAAUAAGGACUAGUAUGAAUGGCACCACGAGGGUUAUACUGUCUCCUUUUUCUAAUCAAUGAAACUGAUCUCCCCGUGAAGAAGCGGGGAUUAACACAUAAGACGAGAAGACCCUAUGGAGCUUCAAACAAAAACGGCAUUGACCCUACAUACAUCUUUAAUAUUAUGCUUACACUGGCCAAAAUGACCGUUAGUUUUGGGUUGGGGUGACCGCGGAGCAUAAACUAACCUCCACGUUGAACGGAACUUCCCUUAACCAAAAGUUACGACUUUAAGUAACAUUAAAAUGACAUCUAUUGACCCAAUAUUUUGAUCAACGAACCAAGUUACCCUAGGGAUAACAGCGCAAUCCAUUUCAAGAGCCCCUAUCGACAAAUGGGUUUACGACCUCGAUGUUGGAUCAGGGUACCCCAGUGGUGCAGCCGCUACUAAAGGUUCGUUUGUUCAACGAUUAAAACCCU